This 432-nucleotide ribosomal RNA is filed under the name uncultured bacterium. RNAcentral describes it as "bacterial SSU rRNA". It matches the Rfam family "Bacterial small subunit ribosomal RNA", at positions 355 to 803 of the family's 1533-position model. The record is from RNAcentral.
UGGGGAAUAUUGCACAAUGGGCGCAAGCCUGAUGCAGCAAUGCCGCGUGAGUGAAGACAGCCCUAGGGUUGUAAACCGCUUUCAGCAGGGAAGAAACUGACGGUACCUGCAGAAGAAGAUGCGGCCAACUACGUGCCAGCAGCCGCGGUGACACGUAGGCAUCAAGCGUUAUCCGGAUUUAUUGGGCGUAAAGAGCUCGUAGGCGGUUCGGUAAGUCGGGUGUGAAAACUCUGGGCUCAACCCAGAGAGGCCACUCGAUACUGCUGUGACUAGAGUGCGGUAGGGGAGCGGGGAAUUCCUGGUGUAGCGGUGAAAUGCGUAGAUAUCAGGAGGAACACCAGUGGCGAAGGCGGCUACCUGGACCAGUUCUGACGCUGAGGCGCGAAAGCGUGGGGAGCAAACAGGAUUAGAUACCCUGGUAGUCCACGCUGU